Long non-coding RNA from Prosopis cineraria, 1582 nucleotides. RefSeq lists it as uncharacterized. The record is from RefSeq and is a predicted model, not a curated record. Lineage: Eukaryota; Viridiplantae; Streptophyta; Magnoliopsida; Fabales; Fabaceae. The transcript is spliced from 3 exons.
CUCAUUUGUUUCGCGCUCAGACUCCCAUCUAUUUUCAUUUCCGCGCGUCCCAGCUCAGGAGGCUCCCAUCCUUGAUCGACCCAGCCAAAGCAUCGUUCAGUGGCUUCUUCUUCUCCGGCGUGCUCUCUCUGCAACUCCUGGACUCAUCAAGGAUAGUUCUUCUCUUCUUCAACAUCGUCUUCAUUCUGCUUGUUAGAUCGUCUUCGUCGGCCAUUCCAACUGCAAGCGAGUAAUUUGAGCUGAAUAAGAAGGUAAGGAGACAACGACGAUGACGAUUGUGAUGGGCUUGAGUGUGAUGGGAAUAUUAGAUUUGGUGGUCGCUGGGAUUUCCUUCGUGAUUUUUUUGGCAGUUUUUGCCAUCAUUGCUUCCAUUUUGUGCUGCACUGCGUUCUUCUUCCAUGCCAAGAACCUCUCUUAAACCCUUGACUAGAGGUACAAACUAUACACUCUCUUUCGUCCCUGCUUGAUCCAUGUUCGGGCAAGUUUUACCUGAAAUUGUUAGUUUUCAAUCAUCGACUUUCAUGUGCGAUUUAUUUUGUGAGCCAAUUGAAAUCUAGCUAUGAUGCGGACGAAACAGAAUUCAGGGACACAUACUGUCAAUAAAGCCAUGUCCAAAUUCAAAAUUAUAAGGAAAAAUGCCAGACGACCUUUCAGUCUUUGGAAUUGGGUUGCUGCUAAAUAGCACCUGAAUUUUCAAAAUUAGUUCUCCAAAUGUUUUACAUCGUAGAAAAUAAGGGAAAAGGGCAUUUUGGAACUUUAGAUCACGAUCAUCAUCCUAUAAGCCUUCUUCCUAGCACCAGUGUUGACUGAACCAUCUUGUGGUGAGUCCUCUUCCACCAUUACAAUGAUACCCUGCUAAUGACUAUGGAAGUAUAUAUUGCUGGCUACAUGAGAUUUUUGACAUUUUGAACUUUUCAGCAGUGGUUUCAAGUGGCUAGGAAUCAUCUUUUCUACUACUUGCACAUAACUUUUUUGAAAAUUUGGAUGGAAGUAAAGUUUGCUUCCUAGAGUACGUAAAAAUAAAAUGGCAGUCAAGGAUCUCAGCAUGAUCAGAAUCAUGCAAACAACAGCAACAACAACAACAAACACUUCUAGUAUGAAGUGUCUUCUUGUGCUUGAAUCACAAACUGUUUCAGUCAGAAGUGAAUAUGCUCCUUAUUAAUGGGAGAGAAAGCACUGGGCAGGGAAACAAAUGCAUCUUUGUAAGCGAAGCCUCUUUUUUCUUAAAUCUUAAAUUCAAAGGCUUCAAGUUUAAACUUCAAACAAAACCUUCCGUUUGUCAAUGAAGCAUUGUUUGUCUCUCAGCAUUCCCAUCCUUUAGAACCGGCAAAAAUAUAUCUAUCAAGUUGAGGAGACUGUUAUAGAGUUGCUAACAGAGCAUAUUAGUUUCCCUCACUCGGGUUCACUCAUGGAUUUAUUGACAUUCAUCUUUGAUCUUUCAAAUUUUCACAAUUUAAAUGGAUUGAUAGCCUCUUGAGACAGAUUGAUAAUUUGAUUCUUGUGUUGUAUGUUUGUACUUACAGUUUACUACCUUCGUUGUUUGACUUUAAUUUAUACACAAUCUCUACCUUAAACGUAUUGA